GAGUUUGAUCAUGGCUCAGAGUGAACGCUGGCGGCAGGCCUAACACAUGCAAGUCGAGCGGCAGCGCGGGGGCAACCCUGGCGGCGAGCGGCGGACGGGUGAGGAAUGCAUCGGAAUCUACCUCGUUGUGGGGGAUAACCUCGGGAAACCGGGACUAAUACCGCAUACGACCUACGGGUGAAAGUGGGGGACCGCAAGGCCUCACGCGAUGAGAUGAGCCGAUGCCGGAUUAGCUAGUUGGCGGGGUAAAGGCCCACCAAGGCGACGAUCCGUAGCUGGUCUGAGAGGAUGAUCAGCCACACUGGAACUGAGACACGGUCCAGACUCCUACGGGAGGCAGCAGUGGGGAAUAUUGGACGAUGGGCGCAAGCCUGAUCCAGCCAUGCCGCGUGUGUGAAGAAGGCC
This 405-nucleotide ribosomal RNA is filed under the name uncultured Gammaproteobacteria bacterium. Its description in RNAcentral is "bacterial SSU rRNA". It matches the Rfam family "Bacterial small subunit ribosomal RNA", at positions 9 to 416 of the family's 1533-position model. The record is from RNAcentral. Lineage: Bacteria; Pseudomonadati; Pseudomonadota; Gammaproteobacteria.